This 1162-nucleotide long non-coding RNA is filed under the name Numida meleagris (helmeted guineafowl). Its description in RNAcentral is "lncRNA (ENSNMEG00000018607.1)". Lineage: Eukaryota; Metazoa; Chordata; Aves; Galliformes; Numididae. The record is from RNAcentral.
AUCAUUUCCUGCAACUAGCAGCAUCGGGUUCCUGCCUGGAGCACCUGAGAUGGCGGCCGUCUCCUCAGGGAUAAAAAGGAGUAGUGCCAAGGUGUGAUGAAAAGCAGUUCCUGUGGCUUUCAAGCUUUGACCAAAACAGAAAAUGCUGGAAAUCCAUCUGUUCUCCAAAUAAAGAGUAAUGCUAUUGAAUCUUGAAUCCAAAAGAUAUGUGCUAGAAGGUUUUCCAAUGAACGUAGUGGGAAUGGAAGCCUGCAGUAACCUCUGAUGGCCAGAAACAGGCAAUGUCCUGUCUGCAUAGCCACUUUUCAAAAGGCUCUGCAGCUUCAUAUUUAUAGAGCAUUGUCAGCUGUGAUGACAAUGAUCUACCCUGCAGUCACAUGGGAGUUCACCGUAUAUUCAGCCAGCCAAGAAAGUGCUCUAGCACAGACCAGUAGAAAGAUCUGCAAGGGUCACUGGGGGGCUGACAUGGGGCAACCCAUUCAGCAGAAGAAUCUGGAGUCCUUUGGUGUGGUCAUUUUCCACAUGGACAUUCACUGUCUGUUUCUGCUUUCACCAGCAGGCGUUAAUAAAAGGCCUAGAUAUUUUUCACAAUUAAAAGUACGUUUUGUGAUUUCUUACAAGAAAUGAAAAAUCAUUGUAUAUAAAUCAGUACAAUAGUAAAACUCUAGCUAAAGACUGGGACAUCAUGAAUUACUGAUCUAUUUCAUAACCAGAUACAAAAACAAAUCCAUCUGACUUAAGUUUUGUAACAACUCCUAACAGUUCUUAAAAAAGAGUAUAGUGAAACUACCAUUAAACUCUUGUACCAUUCCAGAUACAAACAAAAAGGCCUUAAAAACACAAAAGGCAUAACAUCUUGUUAUAGUAAAAAUCUACACUGAUGGUUCCAAUCAAGUCAAUGACAAAAAUUAUCAAUCAAUCAGCACUCUGCAGUGCAAGACCAAUGUAAAUCAAUCAUUGACAACAACAAAGUAUGUGAUUAGCAAGUGUAGAAUUAUUAUCUUCCAAUCAAAUAGCCAGCAGCUAAAUAAUUAUUCACUUUUGCGCAACUUAUUUGAACUUCUCCAGAAUUAGGAUAUAUUAUUUUUCUUUUUUAGUAGCUUGUCUAGACAUUGAUUUCCUUUCUUUCUUCAUAAUAAUAAAAAUGAAGUGCUGAUAUCCA